GAGAGCCGCGCCCUCAACCAAAACGCCACUCUAUAGCCACAAAUAAUGCUCAGAACAGCACCUAACUUCAUCAACAGGACAUAUAGGGUCACAGACAUAGUACUAUAUUCAGAGUUGUUCUAACUCCUAAGAAAACAUGAACUUAAGCGGGGGCGUUUCUCCACUUCUCUAGUCUAUAAGCUGGGCCAAUAAACUUCUACUGUAGUAAAAUGAAAAGGUAAAGGUGUUUUUAUUGAGCCGAAUUAUCAAUAAAAUCGUAACAUUGUUAAUUUAUGUGCUGUUGAGUAAGUAUGUUUGAACAAGAGCACAGUAAACUUAAAUCAGCUAAUUUUCCAAUGAGGUUCUGUUACUGAACAUGUUCUACUCAGGUUAGUACAUACAGGGUCACAGCCAUAGUACUAGACACCAAACAUCUUUUUAACUUUGACUCAUUUCUUUAGCAAAGAGACUAAACACAACUCACCUACUCUCUUCCAGCAGACGCUUGUUUGUAGAGAGACCUCAGGCCAGUCCAUUACAGACUACAGCGGGGUGACGCAGCUCAAGGAAGAACAUUUAUGAUCAUUUCUUUAUCAUUUCCUUGAAGUAAUAAUCAUCAUACUAGUUCUGCUCUUAAAUGUUCCUCCUCUCUCUAUAGUGUGUGGCACAGGCAGCUGCAGACGGCGCUCGCUGGAAGAGUUGGCGUUUACUGCCGCUAGUCACUAAAAAUCCCAACAUGGUGAAUCCUAAUUUGAAGCUAGCGUAGGAUCUUCUGCCAGAGGGGGUGUGUCGUGGGGAGGGCGAUACAGGUUCAGGGGGGAGUUAUGGUGGGGCACAGAGGGGAGACGUUUGUGUGUGGAGUGGGGGUGGGACGCUCAGUUUUUUUCAACUGCUUCUCAGAUCGUCAACAAUGUGAGUCUUAGAAUGAUAAACGGAUCCUGAGCAGCAGGAUGGACGCCAUCAGAACCAGUUCCUUUUGGGGUUUUUUUUGCUGGUUUGACGCACGCUGUCCAUCCUGGUGAUGAGUUGAUUCGAAACAGACAGACUCAUCCUUUACUGUCAACACUAUCUCUUUAUCGGUGUGUGUUUUAUUUCCAGCUCCCUGUCAAUUAAACCUCCUCGCGUAGACCGUCCACGUUCGUUUUCCUCAUUGACUGACAGUCGAUAACAUGGAUCCCACUCUUUUCUCCGCCUCCCCUCGCUCUGUCGUAUCUCCUCCGCUCCCGUCUCCCUCUCCUCCUGACACAAGCUCAAUAACCGAGGAGCCGCACGCUGAUGGGAAUCAUCUCUGUAACGCUAACUGACGCUGACAGACCGUUCACGCCAGGAAAUUGAUUUACAGUUUGAAAAAGCCAUUUAGGUUCUGAAAAGCUCGCCGCCGUCUGAGACGACCUGUCACAGUCCAGGAGGCAGAGGUCGACGCGCAACUUUUUCCCAUCAAUAAAAAACACAGGAGCGGCUUUGAGGGUGUCGUUCGACGCUGAAGCUUCUGCUCAAGGCAACAACCGAUGCCAUCCAUCUGCCGCCCUCGACAUAUUUCACCCUGAGAGACACACGCUUAACAAUCGCACUGUGGACACGAGAAGGACGCCUGUUUUCUUUUCGCUCAUGAACCAAUCAUGUCAAGACAAUAUGAGACGAUCUGAACCUUGACCCUUCGACCAAUCAGAAGACAACACCUGUAUGAGUCUGAAUCGACGUUUCGUGAGGACAAAAGGAACUCGUUCUUCUUCCUGAUUACGUUCCUUCAGCUCCUGUCGUCUCUGUGUUCGAUUGUUCGCUCCGUAUUUACCUCAGAGAGAAAACUAGAAAUCCUUCAGACAAACAAACAAACAAACAGAGACAAUCCUGAGAGGAUUCACCUCUGACCUCUGAAACAACAGAAGAAGGAUCCGGACUCCGCUAUGACGUGGUCAGGUGGAUCAUAGACGACCUGGGCAAGAUCAAACGGUCUUUGUAGAUAUCUGCGCUGAUGGGUUCAAACUGAGCGGGAUAAUGUUUUUUCAACAUGUUUGGUUUUAUUCAAACAGGAGCGGGACAGGAGUGGGAGUAAUCUUGAGUGGGAGUGAAAGUCAUUCUACGGGAGUGGAACAGGAGUGGGAGUGGGAGUCAUUUUAUGGGAGUGGAACAGGAGUGGGAGUAAUCUUGAGUGGGAGUGAAAGUCAUUCUAUGGGAGUGGAACAGGAGUGGGAGUAAUCUUGAGUGGGAGUGGGAGUCAUUCUAUGGGAGUGGAACAGGAGUGGGAGUAAUCUUGAGUGGGAGUGGGAGUCAUUCUAUGGGAGUGGAACAGGAGUGGGAGUAAUCUUGAGUGGGAGUCAUUCUAUGGGAGUGGGACGGGAGUGGGAGUAAUCUUGAGUGGGAGUGGGAGUCAUUCUAUGGGAGCGGAACAGGAGUGGGAGUAAUCUUGAGUGGGAGUGGGAGUGAUUCUAUGGGAGCGGGACAGGAGUGGGAGUAAUCUUGAGUGGGAGUGAAAGUCAUUCUACGAGAGUGGAAAAGGAGUGGGAGUAAUCUUGAGUGAGAGUGGGAGUCGUUCUAUGGGAGUGGAAAAGGAGUGGGAGUAAUCUUGAGUGGGAGUCAUUCUAUGGGAGUGGAACAGGAGUGGGAGUAAUCUUGAGUGGGAGUCAUUCUAUGGGAGUGGGACGGGAGUGGGAGUAAUCUUGAGUGGGAGUGGGAGUCAUUCUAUGGGAGCGGAACAGGAGUGGGAGUAAUCUUGAGUGGGAGUGGGAGUGAUUCUAUGGGAGCGGGACAGGAGUGGGAGUAAUCUUGAGUGGGAGUGAAAGUCAUUCUACGAGAGUGGAAAAGGAGUGGGAGUUAUCUUGAGUGGGAGUGGGAGUCGUUCAAAGGAGUGGGAGUAAUCUUGAGUGGGAGUCAUUCUAUGGGAGUGGAACAGGAGUGGGAGUAAUCUUGAGUGGGAGUGGGAGUCAUUCUAUGGGAGUGGAAAAGGAGUGGGAGUAAUCUUGAGUGGGAGUGGGAGUCAUUCUAUGGGAGUGGGACAGGAGUGGGAGUAAUCUUGAGUGGGAGUGGGAGUCAUUCCAUGGGAGUGGAACAUACAGGUGUAAGUACCAGUUCUGGACGAGCCCACUUGGCGAGUCCAUCCAGACUUCAGCGGAGCUCUUGAGACCUGGGACCAGUUCAUGUGGUUUUAGUUUACAGAUAGAAAUCCAGCUCUUUGGGAAACUUUAGCGUCAUGUUUUUCAAUGAAUAUGAGUCGCCAGGACACAAGGAAACUGUUGUUUACCUGUCCAGGUGUCAACCCUGUGAACGCUCAGAUUAGGAUUAAGGUUCGACUCAGAUUGACGGUUUUCUACCAAGUUAAAUCAGCGGCCCGUCCUUAUCGACUGAGUGAAUUUGAAGCAGCUCUGAAAUGUCAGACUGUAUGAGUCAACACGUGUUUGCAGAAUCUGUCAGAUACCAGCAGAUAAAACCUUUGAUUUAUCUUUGUUUGGAGAAAGAGUGAAAGAGCUGUGAUUAGUGACGGCGUCAACGUCUGAUGCUGGACGUCAUCUCAGGUUAUCUCACAGUGAGGUUCAGUUCAUCUAAGUACAGCUAACAAUCAGACAUCUAAAUCUCUGCCUCCUUUCUCUCUUUCUCUCCAAAAACAAGUUGAAAAGUUCAGACAUAUAUCUUUUACAUCUCGGAGUUUAAACUCAGCGUCCCACUGCGAGGACGCCAGCAGCGCUUUAUGCUAAUGAGAAUUAACGAACGAGAUUAACUUCAAUCUCUGCAGCUCCUCUGACCAGGAUUUUCAGCCUUUACAGCUUUUGUUCAUUUCCCUCACAGACGUAGAUUCAAUAAUGAAAUGUUUAAAAUCUGAAAAGAUAAUAAAGUCGAGGUUUUUUUCUGUUGUUUGAGGAUCUUUUGGAAGGAGGGUAGAUCUGCGGUGUGAGGAUAUAACCUCAAAGAACUAAACCCUGUACGUUUUUACGCGUUUUUGACUAUUUACAGUUGUUUCUGCCGCUCCUGGGAUGAGACAGAGGACCACAUCAUACUGCUCAGAAUCUCUUCCUUUCUUGUUUCCAAACAUUGAGGACCAUUAUUUCUGAUUUUACAGACAAGCAGGGAACUUUCUUGUCUUUUGCUGAUCUUUGGUUGCCUCUUAUUGGACACUACUGUCAAAGGAACAAUGAAGGAUGAAAGUUAAAGAGCUUGGACCUGAUCUUUGCAGGAAAAGCUGAGGGUUAAAGAGCUUGGACCUGAUCUUUGCAGGCGAAAAUAAGAGUCAAAGAGCUUGAACCUGAUCGUUGCAAGAAAAGCUGAGGGUUAAAGAGCUUGGACCUGAUCUUUGCAGGCGAAAAAAAGAGUCAAAGUGCUUGAACCUGAUCUUUGUAGGAAAAGAUGAGGGUUAAAGAGCUUAGAAUUGAUCUUUGCAGGAAAAGCUGAGGGUUAAAGAGCUUGGACCUGAUCUUUGCAGGCGAAAAUAAGAGUCAAAGAGCUUGAACCUGAUCGUUGCAAGAAAAGCUGAGGGUUAAAGAGCUUGGACCUGAUCUUUGCAGGCGAAAAUAAGAGUCAAAGAGCUUGAACCUGAUCUUUGCAGGAAAAGCUGAGGGUUAAAGAGCUUGGACCUGAUCUUUGCAGGCGAAAAUAAGAGUCAAAGAGCUUGAACCUGAUCUUUGCAGGAAAAGCUGAGGGUUAAAGAGGUUGGACCUGAUCUUUGCAGGCGAAAAUAAGAGUCAAAGAGCUUGAACCUGAUAUUUGCAGGAAAAGAUGAGCAUAAAUGAGCUCGGACCUGAUCUUUGCAGGCGAAGAUGAGGGUUAAAGAGCUUGGACAUGAUCUUUGCAGGCGAAGAUGAGGGUCAAAGAGCUUGGACAUGAUCUUUGCAGGAGAAGAUGAGCAUAAAUGAGCUCGGACCUGAUCUUUGCAGGCGAAGAUGAGGGUUAAAGAGCUUGGACCUGAUCUUUAGAACAGUAGCUACAGUGCUCCGACAAGCCAUCAGGAUUUUAAGUGCGCCUUAUAGUGCGAAAAUUACGGUAAUAAGAAACCGAGGAGGACCACGACAUAAUGCGUGCCUUUCAAAAUAAGCUAUUUUUCAAAAUAAAAGACACGUCAAACAUCAGCUGUGCAUGACAUUUUAACUUUUUUGACCUGCUGUUCCACUUUUGAGAACCACCGUAUUAGAGCACAAUGGUAGCAGCGUCACCUACCGUAAAGCCCACUUCGAUGCUCCUACAGUGGGUAAACCAUGAUAAUCCGUCCCCUUUAAUGAUACUACCGUAGAUAAACCUGCCCUCCAGCUGCCCUCCUGGUGUACAAAACUAAACUCUGCCUUCAGGACAUCAUUCUAGGUUAUUAAACAUGAAUAUGUGCCCUUAGGAUGAUCUUUCAGGACAUCAAUUAUGAAAAAGUCCCCUUCAAAUACACAAUUGUUGGAAGAAAAUGUCCUCUGGAUGACCCUCUAAUUCAUCAAAAGUGAUAAAGUGCAAAUAGAGCCACGCAACGACAGUAUAAACCCAGUUUAUGAUCAGAGAAGGCCAAAAACAGGCAGGAGUGGUUUUCAUGUUCUGAGGUCUGAUGGUUCAUUUUUCAUCAAACUGUCUGAGGUAGGAGAGUCGGCGGCGUGACGGUAAUAGUUUCAGUGUGCUCACCUGAGACCCCCAAGACUUUAAACCCUUAGAUAUCACAUGACAGGAAUUUAACUUUCCGACGUACCGUCAGAUAUGAGAGCGGACACCCAGGCUCCACGCCGACAGAUAAGACAGGCGGGCUGAAACAGUCACCCAUCAGUCACCACGUUCGUCUUUAUCUCCCACCUUUCCUCUUCGCCGACUCCGUCUCCUUUUUUUCUGUCUCUCCUCUGGAAACUUCAAUCAGUCGUCUGUUAACACUCAUCAUCUUCCUCUUUCUUUGUUUCUGUCUGACAUUUAUCUCUGUCGUCUCUCUCUCUCUCGCUGUGACUCAUCGUUCCAGUUCGGAGGUUGACGUUUUCAACCCCUCCAAUAACACAAUCAAACUUUUCAGACACUUCCCUCAACCGUCCGUUUCAGACACUUCACACUUUGAUCUGAAAAAUGAGCUUUACACGCUCAGAAGGAACUCUACAACCCAAUCUUUGUUGGAGAGAUAAACGAGGCGCCGAGUGGAAAAUCUCUACGCUAGAAAGAAUAAUGGUGCUAUCUCAGAAAAACAAUGUACUACCAACAAAUCUAACCAAGAGAGUGGCAGACAAACUCAUCUUGAGAUACACAAACACAUUAGAACCCGUCAACCGACAUAAAUUGUUGAAAGGAAAGAAACUCAAAUAUAGACGAGAGAAAAAGAAGUUUUUAACCAUCAACAAACACGAACUCAGGACAAUUUAUCAACUGGUUCUUGUUAAAGAUGUGCCAGAACAUGGGGGGUCACUAUGGAAGUAAAUCUGUGCCAUCUGAUUUUGAAUUUGAAUUUGUAAUUUUUUUUUUGCGUCAAAAUCAGACUUUGAAUUUCAAAUUGAUCGACUUUCAAGCACAUAUUUUUGUUUAUUUUUUUCACAAUGAUGAAAUAAAUUCAGUGGGGAAAAAAACAAAAUAUUAAUUUAGUGACAAUUUAACUGAAAAAAAACUGAACAAAUUCAACAUGAAAAAAUCCAGUGUCAAAUGAUUGAAAUUGAUUUUUUUUUACACUGAAUUUUUUUGUUAUGUUAAAUUUUUGAAAGGUCGAAUUUUUAAUAAAAAGUAUUUUAAAAGACUUUUUUCCCAUUGAAAUGAAUUUUUUUACACUGAAUUUUUUGUCAUGUUUAUUUAUUUGUUUUUUAAACAGAUUAUUUUUUUAGUUGAAAUUUUACUAAACUAAUAUUUUGAGAGACUUUUUUUCCCCAUUUAAAUUGAAUUCUUUUACACAGAAUUUUUUUGUCAUGUUGAAUUUUUUUUAAGGUUUAGUUUUUACUAAACUAAUAUUUUAAAGAUGUUUUUUUUUUCACACUGAAAUUGAAUUUUUUUAGACUAAAAUUUUUUGUCAUGUUGAAUUUAUUUUUACGCAGAUUUUUUUAGGUCGAAUUUUUACUAAACUAAUAUUUUUUAAAAAACUGUUUUUCCCCCUGAAAUUGAUUUUUGUCAUGUUGAUUUUUUUUUUUUUUUUUACAAAGAUUUUUUUAAGUCGAAUUUUUACCUAAUGAAUAUUUUUAGAAACUGGGUUUUUUUCCCCACUGAAUUAAUUUCAUCAUUGUGGAAAAAAAAAAAGUCAGAUAUAAAAUCACAUGCUCGAAAUUCGAUGGUUUUGAAAUUCAAAGUCUGAUUUUGAUGCAAAAAAAAAUUCAGCUUUAGAAAUUCAACUUCAAAAUCAGAUGGCACAGAUUUACUUCCAUAGCUUACUCAGUCAGAUCCACUUCUAACAGACCAACCAAACCCCACAGAAAAAAACGCACAUUUACAAGGUGCUGAAGUGGGUCUUCAGCUGGACUCUGAUCCAGAUUUUGAAGGAGUCUUCUCUACGGUUUCUAAGUAAGUCAGUGAACACAUAACCUUGUCCGUUUGACGGAUCUAGACUUGGGUUUUGUUGAUUUUAAUCUCGCUGCACUGUCAGAAUUUUAGGAUGUUGAGUUAUAAAGAUUAAAUAUCCUUCUACGCCGAUGAUGUGGUUCUAUGGUUUUCAACUGAUCUUGAUCUCACGAACUCGCUGCAGCGGUUUACGGCCGACUAUGGGUGUGAAGAUUGAACAUGUGGAGGUUUUUCAAACAUUCAGGAUCGUCUUCAGAGAGCAUGAGAUCGUCUUAUAAUGGACAUCAUUCAUUCAUUUCUGGCAGAUGUUUGUUUUAGUGAACCAAUGAGGGAGGAGAUGCCGUACAAACGCUGUUCUGAAUUUAGCGAACACACGGAGGGAGGGAUGUAAACUGUAUCUCGCCCUCCCUGUGGCGCUGACACAGACAGUUCAAACUCCGGUUGAAUUACAGGUCAACCGACUCUGACAAAAGAGGGAGAAUCUGGGCUAAGUGUUACCAUGGGGGGGUCGUCUCCAGGCCAGAGUGCCUCAUGGGUAUUCACAUUCGCACUGCAAUGAAUUCUUCAGAAAGAUGAAGUAUCUGAUUUACAGUAACAUAAUUAUCAUUUAUAUAUAUACUACCAUGUUUAUAUAUAUUCAGUUUAUUAACUAUAUAUAUAUAUGAAUAUAUGGAUAUGUAUGUAAUUAUUAAAAAUAUGCUUACUGUAUUAUUCGCACUAUGAGGCGCACCAUCAAUGAACGCGUCUAUUUUUAUACAUAAGACACAUUAAACCAAACAAAACAGUUGGAUAAGUCAAAUGACUUUAUUCUCCGAAGUAAUUAUUUUAUUACGACUUUAUUCUUGUUGAUGAUUUGAUUACAACUUUAUUCACAUAAGUAAUUUUUUUAAUACAACUUUAUUCUUUUAAGUAAUUAUUUAAUUUAGACUUUAUUCUCCGAAGUAAUUAUUUUAUUACUUUAUUCUCGCAAAUAAUUAUUUUAUUACAACUUCAUUCUCGUAAAUAAUUAUAGUAUUAGUACUUUAUUCUCAUAAGUAAUAAAGUCUCGUAAGUAAUUAUUUUAUUACAACUAUAAUCUUUUAAGUAAUGAUUUGAUUACUUUAUUCUCAUAAAAAAUAAUUUAUUUAUGACAUUUUUCUCAUAAGUUAUUAUGUCAUUGAUACUUUUAUUCUUGUCAGUAAGGAUUUUAUUAUGACUUCUUUUUAGUAAUUAUUUUAGUAAGAUUUUAUUCUUGUAAGAUAUUUUUUUGUUACUUUAUUCUCUAAAAUAAAAACUUUAUUACAACUUUAUUAAUUGUAAGUAAUUAUUUUAUUACGAUUUUUUUCACGUAAGUAAUUAUUAAAUUACAACUUUAUUCUCGUAAGUAAUAACUUUAUUACUUUUUUCAUGUAAAUAGUUAUUUUAUCAAGACUUUAGUAUUGUGAGUAAUUAUUUUAUUACUUUAAUCUCAUAAGUAAUCAUAGUAUUACAACUUCAGUCUUGUAAGUAAUUAUUUUAUUAAGAUUUAUUCUUGUACGUAAUUAUUAUAUAACAACUUUAUUCUCGUAAUUAAUUAUUUUAAUGUGACUUUAUUUUUGUAAGUAAUUAUGUUAUUACAAUUUUAUUCUUUAAUUAAUUAUUUUAUUACUUUAUUUUAAUAAGUACAGAUUUUUUAGACUUUAUUCUUGUAAUAAAUUUCUUUAUUACGACUUUAUUAUUGUAAGUAAUUAUUUUAUUAUGACUUAAUUAUUGUAAAUAAUUAUUUUAUAACGAUUUAUUCACAUAUGUAAUUAUUAUAUUACAACUUUAUUGUUUAAUUAAUUAUUUUUUUAGUAAGUACAGAUUUUUUAGACUUUUUUCUCAUAAGUUUUUACGAAUUCUUUUUUUUUUUCUCUUCAUGUGGCCCUAAUACUCCGUCGUACUCGAACACGACCAGGAUUGACCUUUUUUUAAAGAAUGAAGCGUGUGUGUUGUUGAAAUCGAUGCUGCGUUUAACAGGAUAAUACUGUAUUUGAAUGUGAGAGAAGAAGACAGGAAGUCUUUAAUUAAACGGACGUGGACCACAUGAGGAAGAUGAUCGUCUGUUUCUGAAGAUCUCGCCGUUUUAUCUAAAAGUACCAAACAUGAGAAACAGCUGAUCCCUCAUCUCUGCGAUACGACCAGUGAGUUCAGACUCUUGGAUUACAUCACUAAUGAAUGUAACGGCGGGUAUAUUAGUGUCGCCACAGCAGGGGGGGGUUAAUCCUCAAUAAAAUGACCUUAAAUCGCAGCAGGAAGCUCAUUCUACAUAACAGUUAAUCCUUCACGCGUCAUUAUCGGCGCCGCUGCUGCUUCGUUUACCGUCUAACACCACAUGUUGACCUUCUGCCAUUGUGGAGUAAUUAGGAUCAGGCUAAUUUCCUGACGCCUAUUAAACAGGUCGCCGCGGGACCACGGGGGGCUAACCGAGCAGGAACCUUGAAGAAGAAGAACCUUUCCUGCUUUACCUUCGGCAAUUCAGCGUUCUAAUUGAGACCCUGAAGACGAAGCGUCCUCGCCCCCCACACAUAUUAAAUUUAUUAAUCCGCUCUUACUCGCCUUAUUAUCGCAACUGUACGUCUCUACUGGAGCUGAAAACUCAUUUUGGAUCGACUAAGACACACAUCGUUGAUUACAUAAGCAGAAUAAUCCAAAGAUCCCGCUCUGAUUGGCUGAUCUGCUUAUUUCCUGUUUCGGAUUAGCAUAAAGUAGCAUAUUAAGCGCCGAUCUGAGCUGACAGAAGAAGAAGAAGAAGAGAUGUCACUUCGGUUUGAGCGGCGUCAUGUCUCCUCUUUCUCUAAAACACACGUCAGUUCUGGUUUGUUGCUUCGGUCUGACUCAAAUGAGGCGUCUGAGCCAAUAAGCCGCCAGCCGCCGAAUCUAUGACGAAUCCUGACAAGAGAGAGAGAGAGAGAGAGAGAGACAGAGAGAGAGAGAGAGGUUGUGUGAAUCAGAUGGAAAAUAAUGCAAUUAAUCAAGGUCAAACAAACGUACGGUAAUGACGGUCUUUUUAAUUCUCGUUAGUGAGCGUUCCCCUGAGAACGACGUGAUGUGAGGUAAUCACAAUGAUUUACUCAAAGUCCUGAAUUAUUCAGCGGGUGACAAACACACUCAUGGAAAAGAGAAACAGCAGAUACAUUCACUCCUUUCUCCUCUCAUCUUCUCAUGAAUAAUUAACGGCUCAGUCUCAUUGGUUCCUCCUCCUCCUCCUCAUCCUCUCACACGUACAGAUCCAGCUCAGACUAGAUCGUCUUCUUCCUCCACUUCCAGGACAGAAACACUUUGAGGACGGUGUCCUGCUGCUGCUGCUGUGAGCGUCAUUAAUCCAGACCGGGGGCUGUUUGUCGACUCGGAGGACUUCACACCUGAACUCUCAGGUCGGCCUCAGGCGUGGAGGCGCAACAAAUAUGAUGAAGACGGCAAUAACUCUGCCAUCCCAACAGUAAACCACACACAAACUCAGGCUGAGUCUUAGUUCAGAGUCCCAAAACUACCCUGCCCCUUUUUCAAGCAUGAGUUUUGCACACUUCAUGGCCUUACACACCGGGAAUGAUGCAAAUAUACGACGUGAAAUUAAGACAUAUUCUGAGAUGAAUUUUGACGCGUCCCGGGUGGAAGCGAGAAGACUGCCCCAACAGCAGACUGAGUGUUUGUCAGUUCUGAUUAGACUCUAGUGUUGAGAUGUCUGUCUGUCAUGUUAGCAUGGACUGAGUCUGGGUCAGAACCAGAUAAACACAUGAAGCUAUGCUAACAACCGUUAGCUUACGUUAGCACAGAUGAAAGUUCAAACAAAGACGUUUAUCAAACUGUUAAAGCUCACAAACCAUCGUCAGAUGAGAAAUCCGACGCUAUGACUCUCCACAAGUUGUCCUUCAGGUCGUUAUCUUUGUAAUGUUUGUGUCUUUGAUCAAAAAUCACUCUGUUCUCCGACAUGUAAACAAUCAGCCGUCUGCCAUGUUGGACACACCGGAGUUCUCCUCUUAAACGGGACCUGCUUGAUGGACAGCACAGCGUUCUCCGGUAAAUCACUCGGUAGGGGGUUCGCAGUCGCCAUUCCUACAUCUUCUGUCAUUAGGAACCAAGUGCAGAGUGAGGGGCGGACCGGCUUCCAGUAGAGCAGCUAGCUACUUCAGACGCAUAUUGUAGCUAUGCGUCCGUUUGUGACCAAUCUGGUCAUGAAUGUGCUUACAUCAUUCAAAUUAGGCACGCUUGGGUGCUGGUCCUUGGCGCCCCUUAAGGAUUUUUUAAAUUUGGCUAGGAUAAGCUAACUUUUUUAAGCAGAACUGUGAUCUGAGCAUGCUCGAGACAACAGACGUUCCGAUUCCGCCAUGACACUGGGUGGAGAGAUCGUAGUAUUUGUGUCUUUUAUCAAAAAUCACUCUGUUCUCCGACACGUAAACAAUCAGCCGGUCGGCCAUGUUGGAUAUACCGGUGAAUCAGACGUCGCAACAACACGAAAUCUGAUUGGUCAGAAGUGGACACACAGAAUGCAAAACUUUAGAAAAAUCACUUAUUCGCUUAUUCCCGUUCCCGGGGUCUUCAGGGUCAUCCUGGACAAGUCACCAGUUCAUUGCAGGGCUGACAUAUCGAGACAAACAACCAUCCUCGCUCACAUUCACACCUACAGGCAAUUUGGAAGUGGCCAGUUAACCUAACCCCACUUAGACAUAUUUUUGGGAUGUGGGAGGAAAGCGGAGUACCAGGAGUAAACCCACGCAGACACAGGGAGAACAUGCAAACUCCACACAGAAACGCCCUGAGCCGGAUACAAACCCCGGACUUUCUUGCUGUGAGGCUGAAAAAUCGACUGUGAAACGAAAAAUAAAUGCUGCAAUAUCGCAGGACGGGAAAACGUCGCUGAUGUGAACGCUCCUGGUGUGAAAGGACCUUCCGUCAAGACGCGAGCCUGAGGGCGGGGACAUUUGGCGGCUCAACCAGGAAGUCCUCUGAAGGGUAGACCAUCCCAACUCACAAAAGCCAAACCAUCUCACCCAGGGUACUCAAGUCCACAUAACGGCAGUGUAUGUGUAUGGUUUUGGCGGCUUCUCUUCCACGGCUCAUGUGGGUGUUACUUUUCACACCGCCUCACAGUCUUUACGGUAAAAUGCUGCACACUUCCUCUCUUUGAGAAAUAAGAACGAGAAAACAACAACAACCAGGAGCUCCUUUGUUCGAUGAAGAAAGGCCUUUUCACCUUUGGAGCAUCAAACUCUCACAUGUGUUUCAUAACCAAAGAAAUAAAGUCCCUGUUGGUGUUAUUAACCUCGAACCUUCAGUGUCAUCUAAGCGGGUCGUCUCAGGCCGCCUGCUGUUCACACAACAAACACCCCCCCUGCUGUUCUGUUUUCAGCGGCUGACUGUGAAGAAGAGUUAUCAAUGAUUCAAACCUGGUUUUAACAGAGAGCUGAAACUUUCUCCUCCUCCUCCUCUCGAUUAGUUAAAACAGCGUCCUAUUUUAUAAAAUUCAUGACAUUAAACUUUAAACUGAUUUUUGGAAGUCUUGGGAGAAUCUAAUUUGAACUGAAUUUAUAUGUAAAGAGAGGUUUAAAGGUGGUGAUCAGGGCUCUCAGUAUUCUGAACAUGUACCAGUAGAUGUGCUGGUUCUAAUGAAGACUGAGCAGUUCCCAUUAUGGACAUGGCCGUGUGAUCCGGCAGCAGAAAUGAGGAUUUACAGCCCACCUCCCCCUGAUGUAGAGUGUCAGUUUAUAGAUGCUGCUCGUCAUUGUUCGAUCCUGUCCAUUGUUGUCAGCAGAUUGUUUCUGUGGAUUCAAUACAGAUCCUCCCAUCAGCACAACUCCCACAGAUUCCUGUUUACUGCAUUCACAAUCAAAACAAUGGACAGAGGGUGUUGGCCGGCUCGAACCCGGAGAAUUUCAAUCCCAAGGCUGAAGCGCGCAGAUGAGAUAACAACAAGCCUGAUGGAUUUAUUCACUGUAACACCCAAAGGGAGUGAAGCGAACCGCUCUGCGCUUCAGAGCAACGGUUCCCGAUCAUUUUUACACUAAAUGGGUUUUCAGGUACAAAGAGCGAUGAAACACUGGCCCCGUUUACAUGGGUAGUUUUCCUCAAUCUGAUUGAAAUCAAUCGGAUUAAGUGAAUCUGAUUCCAUCUGUAUACACUCACCGGCCACUUUAUUAGGUACACCUGUCCAACUGCUCGUUAACACUUAAUUUCUAAUCAGCCAAUCACAUGCAGCAACUUAGUGCAUUUAGGCAUGUAGACAUGGUCAAGACAAUCUCCUGCAGUUCAAACCGAGCAUCAGUAUGGGGAAGAAAGGUGAUUUGAGUGACUUUGAACGUGGCAUGGUUGUUGGUGCCAGAAGGGCUGGUCUGAGUAUUUCAGAAACUGCUGAUCUACUGGGAUUUUCACGCACAACCAUCUCUAGGGUUUACAGAGAAUGGUCCGAAAAAGAAAAAAUAUCCAGUGAGCGGCAGUUCUGUGGGCGGAAAUGACUUGUUGAUGCCAGAGGUCAGAGGAGAAUGGCCAGACUGGUUCGAGCUGAUAGAAAGGCAACAGUGACUCAAAUAACCACCCGUUACAACCAAGGUAGGCAGAAGAGCAUCUCUGAACGCACAGUACGUCGAACUUUGAGGCAGAUGGGCUACAGCAGCAGAAGACCACACCGGGUGCCACUCCUUUCAGCUAAGAACAGGAAACUGAGGCAACAAUUUGCACAAGCUCAUCGAAAUUGGACAAUAGAAGAUUGGAAAAACGUUGCCUGGUCUGAUGAGUCUCGAUUUCUGCUGCGACAUUUGGAUGGUAGGGUCAGAAUUUGGCGUCAACAACAUGAAAGCAUGGAUCCAUCCUGCCUUGUAUCAACGGUUCAGGCUGGUGGUGGUGGUGUCAUGGUGUGGGGAAUAUUUUCUUGGCACUCUUUGGGCCCCUUGGUACCAAUUGAGCAUCGUUGCAACGCCACAGCCUACCUGAGUAUUGUUGCUGACCAUGUCCAUCCCUUUAUGACCACAAUGUACCCAACUUCUGAUGGCUACUUUCAGCAGGAUAAUGCGCCAUGUCAUAAAGCUGGAAUCAUCUCAGACUGGUUUCUUGAACAUGACAAUGAGUUCACUGUACUCAAAUGGCCUCCACAGUCACCAGAUCUCAAUCCAAUAGAGCAUCUUUGGGAUGAGGUGGAACGGGAGAUUCGCAUCAUGGAUGUGCAGCCGACAAAUCUGCGGCAACUGUGUGAUGCCAUCAUGUCAAUAUGGACCAAGCUCUCUGAGGAAUGCUUCCAGCACCUUGUUGAAUCUAUGCCACGAAGAAUUGAGGCAGUUCUGAAGGCAAAAGGGGGUCCAACCCGUCACUAGCAUGGUGUACCUAAUAAAGUGGCCGGUGAGUGUACAUGAACUUUAAGUAAAGAGAUCCAUGUUCAGUCCGCGUUUUCAUGGCCCCAGCUGAAUCCAGUUGUAUUGUAUUGUAUCAAUGGGAAUCGUUAAUAGGAACCAUUGUUUUAGUUCCGUUUUAGAGUUGUGCACGGACGUGUUUGUGUGUGACACCGCCGGAGUUACCAGACCGAGCAGAGUAAGGAACCCUGUGUGUUGAAGUUUAAUAAAAGUAUAAUCCAGCCGGGUUACACAGCAAGAAGUGUACGCUUCGUCAGUCGCACGAAACGACACACUUUAACACGCCACCGUCCAGUUUUUCUGUUUGUUCGCCAUGUUUGUUUUCGUUUGGGCGCGCUCUGCGUACGUCACUACGUGCCUCUUACGUACUACGGAGCGCCUGCGCAGACCGAACAAGCCUCUCCGUAAACCCAAUCCGCUCCACUCAGCCGUAUAUAUGGAGCAUGGAGCGGAUUAUCAAUCGGUGUAGACUACUUCUUACAAUCCGACCCGAAAUACAGUCAGAUCCGGGUGAAUCAGACUGGCUAAGGUGUUUAUAUGAGACAUUUUGAAUCUGAUUGACCUUUCAAUCUGAUUGUAAAUAGGAUUUUUGGACCCAUGUAAACGGGGCCAGUGACGGCAACAGCGGCUGAGAAGACUAGAAAACCGACUGAAGAGAAGGAGAGGGAUUCUGGGAACUUUAAAGGCAGUAAAGGUUGUUUCAACUGCAUGUAACUGAUUUAUAUGGAAAUACUGAAGAUUAAAAUGUUUGUUACAUGAAGUUUAGAAUGUUUGAGAAAUAAAGUUUAAAAUAUUUGAUACAUGAAGUUUAGAAUGUUUAGAAUGUUUGAUACAUCCAAAUUUAGAAUGUUUGAAUCAAUGAAGUUUGGAAUGUUUAAUAAAUGAACUUUAGAAUGUUUGAUACAGACACACACACACACACUCUUCAAUUUGGAGUUUGUUGAACCUCUAACAGCUCCAAGGUUUGAGAGCGGACUGAAAUACCUCUGAUAUUCUCGGUUAUUUUCAAACACGGUCUUGUCAGGUCUGCGUUGGACUGCGGCGUUUCAAUUCUCUUUACACGUCAGAACUUUAUUUUAAUCAAGCAGGCGGCGUUAAGACGCCCUGCAGAGAAUCAUUACCAUCCUCCUUUCAUCCCGCCUUUAUUUCCCAGCAGCCACUGCUGUUUGUUUCUCUAAAUAACUCUGAGAAAUCUGAAGAGGAGGCUGAGUGUGUGUGUGUUUGUGUGUAUAUCUGUGUGUGUAUCUGUGUGUGUGUGCGGUAGAUUCCUUUGAUACCAGAUUAGCGAGUAUUCUCAGAGCUGAUCCAGGUGGGUGUUGGACAUGAUCCUGUCCUCGUCUUUUCUGCUCCUGAUGUCCAAAGACUUGAACAAACGUGAACGCGUCUUUAUUCAGCCGUUUUGUUUUUUUAACAUUCGUCCCCGACCGUAAUCAGAUGAGACAGGAAGCUGGCGAGCAUCUGUCCCGCUGAGCUGUCCUUAAAAACCACCAUCCCUCCCUCUGACUCAGACUCUGGAACAAAGCUCCCACGAUACUGAACCUUUGUUUUCUUGAUCAGAAAAAUCAGGAUGUUGGCGGGAGGAUUACACCGACCAAUCUCAGUUGACUGAUAAUCCAGUGUUUGCCUCUAAGCCCAAUCUCACUGCAGCGUCGACAGCUAACCUCUGAGCAGUGUUGCCAUUGUAGUGACUCGGUUGCUAUAUUUAGCGAGUUUUCAGACCCCUAUGAACCUGCGUUAGGGCCAGAAAAAACAUUAUUGUCUCACAUCGCCACUGACAGUUUUUUUUUUCUAUCGUCUCUUUUUGGUCCAUUUAGAUUUAGGUUGUACAAACUGUUUAAGAUAUUAUAUUUAAAAUGUCGAGGCUUUACUGCGAUUAGUCCUUUUUAAAACCAAACAAAACUUUCAAAAACUUAAAAAACAAACAACAAAAAAAAAACCUCAGUAACUCCUCCAAAUUGUCUUGAUUGGGUUAUAUUUGCCGAUGGUCCCAAACCACGAUAAAGGAGGAGGUUUAGUUUUGUGACAUUAAAAGAAACAAGAAUUGACAAAAAAAAUCAUUUGUAGUUCUAAACAUUUUUACUCACUUUAUAUUCACUUUUUUACUUACUUUUUUAUCCACUUUUUUUACUCAUGUUUUUCUCACCUUUUAACUAGAAUUUUUAUUAACUUUUUUACUCAAAUUUUUACUUACUUUUUAAUUAACUUUUUACUGACUUUUUAUUCACCUUUUUACUAAAUUUUUUACUCACUUUUUACUCAUUUUUCGUCACUUUUUUAAUUCAAUUUUUAUCUAACAUUUUAUUCACUGUUUUCCUCAUUUUUCCUCUUUUUUAUCCACUUUUUACUCAUUUUUUCUCACUUUCUUAUUCACUUUUUUACUCAUUUUUUCCUCACUUCUAUUCACUUUUUUAGUAAAUUUUUAUUCACUGUUUUACUCAUUUUUCUCACUUUUUAUUCACUUUUUCACUCAAUUUUUAGGCACUGUUUUUCCUCAUUUUUUCCCUCACUUUUUAUUCAUUUUUUUUAGUAAAUUUUAAUUCAUUUUUUUCUCACGUCUACUCACAUUUUUACUCAAUUUUUUACUCACUUUUUAAUUCACUUUUUACUCAUUUUUUCUCAUUUUUACUCAGUUUUUAUUCACUGCUUUUACUCAUUUUUUCCUCACUUUUUAUUCAUUUUUUUAGUAAAUUUUUAUUUACCAUUUUCCUCAUUUUUUUCUCACUUUUUACUCACAUUUUCACUCAUUUUUUACUCACUUUUUUAUUCACUUUUUUACUCACUUUUUUAGUAAUUUUUUAUUUACUUUUUUACUCUUUUUUUCUUUCUUUAUUAUUCACUUUUACUCACUUUUUUAUUCACUUUUUUACUCACUUUUUGUCUCUCCCAUGACCUUGUUCGUCUCCCUUACAGCGUCCAUUACAAUUUGGCCAACCAUGCAAAUUAGGCGAUGACAUCAUUUAGCGACUUUAGGACAGCCAAUAGCGACUUUCCUCACUGAGGAGUUGGUAAAACUUCUUCUGAGUACCUCAGAAACGAGCAGAGACGUGGAGCUGAAGCCCCUCCCUCUCCAAAGAACUGACACUGAGGUCAGCUGUGAAUUUGAAGGUCUGGAAUCGAGGACUUUAAGACGGUUUCAUCUCCUCUAGUGGACACUUAAGGAACUGCAGUUAUUCAACUUCCACGUUAUAGUUGUCAGAAGUCCGUCUGCUGGGUCAUGGUUUGAGUCCUGAAUUUUGGUCUCCUUGCUGUGGUUCAGAGCCGAACAGCUGCACAUUUGCACAUUUGCACAUUUCCACGAGGCUGGAGCAGAGCGGAGCACAUGCUGAGGAGGAGAGCAGAGCGGAGCUGCAGACGGCGCCGAGGCCACGACCCCGAGAGAGCGAACAAGACAGUGAUAAUGUAAAGAGACAGGCUGUGCUCCUACUGCUGACCUCCGGACCUCUGUUCUCCUCGGGGAGGCUGUUCUACUUAUUAAACCAACAACUGAGCCAUGAUGCUGUAAUACAACGACGACGGCGAGGAGGAUGAGCCGCAUUUAAAAAGCUUUUUUACGUCCACACCGCGUCUCUUACAUUAUUCAUCACUACGAUGACGACGACAAGGAGGGAAUGACAUCAGCCCACAUCUGUGUCUCCAUAAACCCGGGUUUGAGUGACUGCGACCUUCUGUGUCGGCACAUUUAUGUUCCCCAUAAAAAAAAGAGAAAGUCAGCGAUAUUUAACGACUUCUCUUCAGAUGAUGCUCAUGGAUAUUCCGACAUUUCUUCAUCGGCUCAGAGUUCGGCAUCAGGAGGCGGUUUAAAAUGAGUUUUAAAGUUUGAAGAAUAACAUCCAGGAUCAUGAAAUUCUCCUCAGACUCUGAUCCUCGGUCCGUGUCUUCUCCGUCCAUUCAAACUAGUAAACAAAAAAACGAGCCAAUAUUUUGUUUAAUUGGUUUUUCUAAAACUGUGUAAAAAUUUAACUUGAAAAAAAAAUUCUGUGUAAAAGAGACCAACUCAACAUCCUGGUAACCAGGGAGAAGCAAUUGAUUCCGACCCCAGUGAGCCAGGAAUUGAUGACACUAACGAUGAAUUUUUUUAAAAGUUUUUUAAGUCAGGGUUUUACCGAACAAAUACUUUGAUGGACCAAUUUUUUUGCACUAAAUUUAUUUACACUCAGGGUUUUUUUUAUAUGUUGAAUUUUUUUUUACACAAUUUUACACAUUUUUUUAACAAACAGAUAUUUGGAGAUUUUUUUUUAAACUGAGUUUCUUUACACUUAUUUUUUCUUCUGUUUAAUUUUUUUUACAGUUUUUUAAGUCAAAUUUUUACCAAAGAAAUAUUUUGAGGGAUCUUUUUUUUACUCUGAAUUUAUUUACACUGAGGUUUUUUUAUGUUGAAUAUUUUUUACACAGUUUUUUAUGUCAAAAUUUUACUAAACGAAUAUUUUAAGAGAUCAAUUUUUUUACUCAGAUUUCUAAUGUUGAAUUUUUCAAGUUUUUUUUAAGUAAAAUUUUUACUAAACAAAUAUUUUGAAAGAUCUUUUUUAUACUGAAUUUAUUUACACUGAGGGUUUUUAAGCUGAGUAUUUUUAGUUUUUUUAAGUAAAAAUUUUACUUAAUGAACAUUUUGAGAAAUUAUUUUUUUACACUGAGUUUAUUUACACUGAUUUUUUCUUAUUUUGAAUUUUUUUUAACAAAAUUUUUUAGUCAAUUUUUCCAAACAACUAUUUUUAGAGACUGAUUUUUUUACACUGAAUUUAUUUCAUCAUUGUGAAAAAAAUGAGCAUCAGAAAUAAAAUGCGUGCUUGAAAUCCAACGAUUUUGAAAAUCAAAAUCAGAUUCUGAUGCAAAAAAAAAUUCAGCUAUAGAACUUCUAAGUCAAAAUCAGAUGGCACAGAUUUACUUCCAUAAACCUUUGACCCCGGCGUCCCUCUGAUGGCGUUAAACUGUUCUCCUCAUGUUUGGAUCGUCACAGCCUCGUCUAAAAUCACUCCUGGAUCAUUUGGAGAAGAUCUCAGACUUGGACCUGCACUUCGUUGACCUUCCUGCUCUGAAAAGAAGAGUAUGUAUAUUUCUGAAGGUCAUCGCUGCUCUCAGCUGUGACCUUCACUGAACACGUCUUCAUACCUGAACACAUAAUGACUCUGUUCGCCAAGGUUGGAGGAUGUAAAUAACAGGAAUGUUUGACCUUCCUGAUGAAUAGACAACACAUUCUUGAGUGUGUUGGUGUUAAGUGUGUUUUCUCUGUUGUAUUCAUGUGUGUGUGUGUGUGUGUGUGUGUGUGUGUGUGUGUGUGUGUGUGUGUGUGUGUGUGUGUGUGUGAUCUUUCAGCCUUGAGAGUGAAGAGGAAAUAAGAGGAGUGUAUAAAAAGACGGAGAGUUGGUUUAAAAGUCGUGGUUUUUAGUGUUUAAUUUGGUGUGAAAUGAUGAUGCUGAGAGAAACUGAUGGAGUAGGAGGGUGGGUGGUGUAGAAGAGUUCAUGUAGAUUUAGGAGUUUAUUGACGAAUGGAGAAUCGUUGGUUUGUGUUUCAGACGCCCACACCGAGAGCUGACAGGAACUUUAAAAUAUUUCAGAUCUGACCCCCCCACUGUCCCCGUCCUCAGUGUCCUUCAGCAUCUAGACUGUUCUUCUCUACGGUUAGUAAAGCAGAUCGACUCUUGAACUAAAUUUAUCGACUUCUACUGUCUUCAUCGUUUCCCUACGAUGGUUCAACAGUUUCAUGACCAUCAAGAAUUCUGUCCCGUUUUAUUCUGUUCUAUGAUGUUCUUUUCUAUUCUUUUCUCUUCCAGUCUGUCCAAUUCUCUUCUGUUCUAUUCAGUUCCUUUCUAUUAAAUUCUAUUGUAUCGUAUUCUAAUCUGUUCUCUUCUCUCUUCUCUAUUUGGUUCUAAUUUAUUCGGCUUUGGUCUUUUCUAUUAUUUUCUUUUCUAUUCUGAUCUGUUCUUUACUAUUCUAUUCUAUAAAGCUCUAUUUUUAUUUUAAAUUCUUCUAUUUUGUUCUGUUCUAUGAUAUCUUAUUCUAUUCUAUAAAGCUCUAUCUGUUAUUUGAUCAUUUUUCUAUUCCAUUCUAUUCUAUUCUAACUUAUUCUUUUCUAUUCUGUUCUAUUCUUUUCUGUUUUAUUCACCUCUAUUCUAUUUGAUCAUUUUCUAUUCUAUUCUCUUCUAUUUUAUUUUAUUCUUUUCUAUUUUUUCAAUUCUAUAAUUUUCUAGUCUUUUCUAUUCUAUUUAUUUCUAUUCUAUUCUAUUUCUUUUCUAUUCUAUUUUUUUUUCUAUGACACCAUUUUCUGUUUUAUUCGAUUCUGUUGUUUUCUUCUACUUCACUCUUUUUUUUUAUUUCACUUUAUUCUGCAGUUAUUUAUUCUACUCUGUUCUUUUCUACUUAUUUCUUUUCAGGUCUUUUCAAGUCGAUUCGAUUCUUUUCUAUUCUUUACUGUUCUAUUCUAUUAAGCUCUAUUUUAUUCUUUUCUAUUUUUUUCCUCCUCUGUUCUAUUCUGUUAUAAUUUAUUCUGCUCUGUUAAUUUUUUAUCCCCUUUUUCUGUUCAGUUCUAUUCUAUUAGACUAUUUUGUUCCUUUCCUUUUUUCCUCUGUUAUUUUCUAUUCUUUUUUAAUCUAUGUUGUUCUGUUCUUUUUUUAUCCUUUAUUUGGUUCUUAUUUUCCUCUCUCACGUCACCAACAGUUGGACUGAUCGAGGAUCAGAAAAUAAAAAAUCUGGGAAACAUGUUUUUGGGUCUUUUUCUAGUUAAGUUCUACAAAAGUGUGUUUUUGUCAUCAGGCCAAUCACCACAUUUCUCCGACACACACACACACACACACACACACACACACACACACACACACACACACACGUUCACACACUUCUGAACAGAUUCACAAAGACAGAGAAAAUAAUGGAAACACUCUGAACACAAUCGAACAGCUCCGAGGAAAAUUGAAUCUACUCGACUAUUUAUAAGGUAAUUAUCUCUGCUGUGUACCUGUCCAUCUAUGUUGAGGACCGACCUGCACACACACACACACACACACACACACACACACACACACACACACACACACACACACACACACACACACACAGCUGUUAAAUGAUCAUUUUGAAAUGUUGCAUAAAUCCAUUAAUAUGAUAAUCUAGGAUUUCCAUCAGUGUAAUCUCAUUCUCCUCACUGUCUCUAUUUUGAAGGAACCUUUUCUUACUCCUGAACUGUUGUUUAAACGACUAACGCUCUGUAUCAGGAGGAUCAGUGGUCUGGGUUCCUGGGUUAAAACCUCGCCAAAGACCUGACCUGGAGCAUCAACAGUCUUCUCUGGUUGAGGAGGAUCACUAACCCUCGUUACCCUCCCAGAGUUCUUCGGAUUAGACGAUUUGAUUGGACAACUGUCCUCGUCUCAGUUUACACGGACUGAACAUGGAUCUGUCUAUUGAUCAGAGACCGCCGCCUCCUCGACCGGCUCGAUACGUCUUUGACCAACUUUGUCACGUGCCGAAACAAUCGACAAACAUGUUAGAGAGAGGUCGUCCAUCGAACGAUAAACUGAGGCGUACAUGACGUAAAGGAACUCGAUUCCAGACGACGUUAUCAGGGAUCUUUCAAUCUGACUGUGAGGCAGAGUAGCAGGUAGAAGGUCCCUGCAGACCGUGGCGAAAGCUUGGACAGAGGACUGUGGGAAGAAGCCGACCCAACGCUGUCCGUGAUCCGCCACGAAAUUCACCUCACAAACAGAUCUGGUAGGAAUUGGCGUACGGCGAAAAUUGCCACCUUUCUGGAUGCGGUGGAAAUCCUGGGUUAGUCCCCGUUUCUCAAAGCUGUGGUAGAUCACUAAGACCGACUCUAGAGACUUCUCAGGGUUCACAACAAUGGCAUGCACACACACGCCUCCUUUUCCUGUUAACAAACAAAUCCAACGGCACAAAUCAAAACGUGAAGCUGCUGCGUCCUGGAAAUGGGGAACAACAGCAAAACCUGGCCAAACAAACGGAUCCAGUAGCAACAGGUGAGAAUCUAGUUACUGACAGAAGAAACCACAACGGUUGGUCCUGAUGUACCCCCCCCCCCCCCCCCCCCCGUCUACCUACAGACCCAUAGACCGACUCUAGAGACUUCUCAGGGUUCACAACAAUGGCACGCACACACAUGCCUCCUUUUCCUGUUAACAAACAAAUCCAACGGCACAAAUCAAAGCGUGAAGCUGCUGCGUCCUGGAAAUGGGGAACAACAGCAAAACCUCAUGAAUACAAAAUAGGAUCAAUUUAUUAAUUUCUCAUACAAACAAACAAAUCCAAGAAUAAUGAAUGUGGACCUGCAGCAGAAAUCUCCUCUCAGACCAGCUCAGUGCAGAAAAAAACACAUAGACGUGUCUUUAAUUAUCUCCUUUUUUCACCCUCACGCUCAAAAGACAGAAAUCAGCGAUGUGUGGAGAUUGAUUAAUGGAAAAGUCAUCCGUCUCCUCGUACGCCGUGGAGAUGUGAACAAGCUCAUCAGUAAACAGGAAAUCAAUUAGAUGUCGUGUUUGACGUUUCAUACAUCACUGUUUCCGUGCACCUAUACAUCAUUAUAGCGUCUCAGGUCCGCUCAGGCGUUCACGAACAUGUGGAAAUGAUGUGGGUCUGAUCUGGAGCCUCUCCUCUUUACAGAACUGAUUAAAGUAUUUAUUAAAAAAAAGGUGAUAAACUCUAAAUGAAGAGGUUUGAAGUUUGAGAACCGCAGUUCAGUCAGUGUCCACUAGAGGCUGUCUCCAAAAGUGAGUCGAUCCCUGUAGAGCCCCGUGUUAAAAAGAGCAACUUUCCAACAAAUGAAGGAAAAGCAGUUCUGGUCUCAGACCUGCACUUCUACAGGGGUCACAGGUCAAGUCGAGGUAGGAGAGGGUGUCACGGAAGUGAUAUUUUUUUUUGGGAUGGUAGGGGAAAGUCCCGCCUCCUUCGCCUCUGAUUGGCUCAAAAAGCUGGAAACGUCAUCACACGCUCAAGUCAAAUGGGAGCUGUCGGCUCUGGACAUCGAACAGAACAUUAUCGCACUCCGGAAUCUCCUAACCCUAACCUGACAGACGAUGACGUUCCCCGCCAUUAGGAAGAACCAAUCAGUGCCCAGCACUUCUAGCCACUUAAGAGGCAAAGGAGGGCGGGACCUUCCCCUACCAUCCUCCAAAAAGAAAAUUCGCUUCCGGAAUAGGGUGACAGAGGGUCUCCGAUGUCCAUAAAUGUGGGAUUCUGGGAUCUUUGUGCGAUCAGACGUGCAGAUCCGCUCGCCUUGUUUGCAUGAGGACUAAAACAGUCCGACUGGUUUAAUGAAGCUCUUCAACCUCAUCCACAGGGAGACGAGACGCUCUGAAAAUCAGACAGAGAGAGACGGACAACCUUUGACCUCCUCUUCUUCACAACACGGCGUUUUCCUCCGGGACGUUAUUUCUCAGCGAGCGUGUCGGUUUGUCGUCAAAUGAGGGCUUGACUUCCUGGAAUCCUCCUGGGUUUCCCCCCCGAACACACCAUCAGAGAGAGGAUUUGUGUAGACGUUGACCCGCGUCUACCUGAGGUAUUAACUUGUAAAAGGGUUUGAUGAUGAUAGAGGAGGAGGAGGAGGUAAUCCUGGGAUGGUGUGAGGCAUCAUGGGUAAAGAGAACCAGCAUGGUGAAUGUUCCCCGGGGAGUUUGGGAAAUUGAGGUCAAAAUGUGAGGCAACAAGACCCCGGAAUCACAGACUGUGAAUACUAAUGAGUCCUUUAAACGUCUCCAUGUGGAGGAAGGAUGGAGUUUCCAUUAACACGAGGACCACCAGGACCCCCAGGACCAGCAGACGGGGGUUUGUUAUUGUUCUCUAAUUCACCAUGGAGACGUACUUAUCUUCCUCGGUACCUUUAAGACGCUUUUAUUGUCACUUUAUUCAGUAGAACCAGCAGACUACACUAACCUCCAUUUUCCUGUAAAUACAGCGGUGAAGUUAGUUUCAGGUUGGAUAUAUUCUCCUGUAAAUACGGUGGUGAAGUUGGUUUUAGGUUGGAUAUAUUUUCCUGUAAAUACGGUGGUGAAGUUGGUUUUAGGUUGGAUAUAUUUUCCUGUAAAUACGGUGGUGAAGUUGGUUUUAGGUUGGAUAUAUUUUCCUGUAAAUACGGUGGUGAAGUUGGUUUUAGGUUGGAUAUAUUUUUCUGUAAAUACGGUGGUGAAGUUGGUUUUAGGUUGGAUAUAUUUUCUGUAAAUACUGCGGUGAAGUUGGUUUUAGGUUGGAUAUAUUUUCCUGUACAUACCAUGUUGAAGUUAGUUUUAGGUUGGAUAUAUUUUCCUGUAAAUACGGUGGUGAAGUUAGUUUUAGGUUGGAUAUAUUUUUCUGUAAAUACGGCGGUGAAGUUAGUUUUAGGUUGGAUAUAUUUUUCUGUAAAUACUGCGGUGAAGUUAGUUUUAGGUUGGCUAUAUUUUCCUGUAAAUACGGUGGUGAAGUUAGUUUUAGGUUGGAUAUAUUUUCCUGUAAAUACGGCGGUGAAGUUAGUUUUAGGUUGGAUAUAUUUUUCUGUAAAUACUGCGGUGAAGUUGGUUUUAGGUUGGAUAUAUUUUCCUGUAAAUACGGUGGUGAAGUUGGUUUAAGGUUGGAUAUAUUUUCCUGUAAAUACGGCAGUGAAGUUAGUUUUAGGUUGGAUAUAUUUUCCUGUAAAUACGGCGGUGAAGUUAGUUCUAGGUUGGAUAUAUUUCCCUGUAAAUACUGCGUUGAAGUUGGUUUAUGGUUGGAUAUAUUUUUCUGUACAUACCAUGUUGAAGUUAGUUUUAGGUUGGAUAUAUUUUCCUGUAAAUACGGCAGUGAAGUUAGUUUUAGGUUGGAUAUAUUUUCCUGUAAAUACAGCGGUGAAGUCAGUUUUAGGUUGGAUAUAUUUUUCUGUAAAUACUGCGGUGAAGUUGGUUUUAGGUUGGAUAUAUUUUCCUGUAAAUACAGUGGUGAAGUUAGUUUUAGGUUAUAUAUCAUUUUCUGUAAAUACUGCGGUGAAGUUAGUUUUAGGUUGGAUAUAUUUUUCUGUAAAUACGGCGGUGAAGUUAGUUUCAGGUUGGAUAUAUUUUCCUGUAAAUACGUCGGCGAAGUUAGUUUUAGGUUGGAUAUAUUUUCCUGUAAAUACGGCGGUGAAGUUUGUUUUAGGUUGGAUAUAUUUUCCUGUAAAUACGGCAGUGAAGUUGGUUUUAGGUUGGAUAUAUUUUCCUGUAAAUACAAUGUUGAAGUUAGUUUUAGGUUGGAUAUAUUUUCCUGUAAAUACGGCGGUGAAGUUAGUUUAAGGUUGGAUAUAUUUUUCUGUAAAUACGGCGUUGAAGUCAGUUUUAGGUUGGAUAUAUUUCUUGUAAAUACGGCGGUGAAGUUAGUUUUAGGUUGGAUAUAUUUUCCUGUAAAUACGGUGGUGAAGUUAGUUUUAGGUUGGAUAUAUUUUUCUGUAAAUACGGCGGUGAAGUUAGUUUUAGGUUGGAUAUAUUUUUCUGUAAAUACGCAACAGAACGGAAGGAAGUCGGUGGAAAUCGACACGUUAACUUGAAAGGUUACGAUCAGCUACGAUCGGAGGAUACGACCUUUUCGUAGACGUUCCGGUUGCGGUGGAAACUGGGAGUAAGUGGACUCAGUCUACAGGGUCUUUACGGCUCAGGUGGACUAAAGCAACACGUGUUUGCGGAGGGGGAAACCUGAGGUCUGGGGGGGAACACCUGCCCCUCGAAGACAAGGAGGUUUUCAGAUCCGGGUGAAGAGACGGUCUGACGCCUUCAAUUAGAGAUUUGACAGAGAGAAACUCUGACAGGGAAUGAAUCUUUAACCUGCUACAGCGAACACUUUCCUACCUGAGAAACCGUCUCUGACUGACAACUCUGACUUCAGGGAGAUUCCUGCGCCCACGCUCUUAUUUUGGCGGGUUUAGUUUCAUGUAUUUUUUACUUACAAGCCCACAAGAGGAGCUGAGAGGAGCAGGUUUGCUGCAGUCCUGUAUACUGGAGCGGUUCCGGCCCGUUCUCCGUCUGAUGUGAAUUAAUGAAAGACAAGAAGAGAUGAGAAAAAAGAGCGAAUCAAUUAAUGGAAGCUCUCACAGCAACAGCAGGAGUAAAAGUCUCUUCAAAAGGACUUCAAAAAUGUCCGUCUUCAAAAGAGGGAAUCCUCAAAGGACUCGGAGUGUGUGUGUGUGUGUGUGUGUGUGUGUGUGUGUGUGUGUGUGUGUGUGUGUGUGUGUGUGUCCUCGGUUUGUUUACAAUUGUUCGAGUGUCUAUCUGCUUCCAGCCCGAGGACCCUGGGGGAUGUUUUACUCCCAGUGUUGAAGGACCUUAAUCUUUCUAUCGUAGAGUGAAGAUAUUUCUGUAUCGCCGUGGAAACAGACUCAGAGUGCGUGUAACUUGAACGCUGUGUGUCUUUUUUUCAACACAUUGACUCUCAAACAGAUCCUAAACUAACAUGUUUGAUUCUGGAACAGAUGAGGGUGAAGAUGAAGCUCAGAGAGGUCAUGUGGCUCCAUCUAGUGGCGGUUUCAGGGUUUUUCAUCAUUUAUCAAUGAUUUAAUAAGAAACUUCUACUGUAGUAAAAUGAAAAGGUAAAGGUGUUUUUAUUGAGCCGAAUUAUCAAUAAAAUCAUGAUUUUGUUAACAGGUAUGAAUUUAUGUUCUGUUGAGUUAAUAUAUGUGAACAAGAGCACAGUAAAGUUAAAUCAGCUAAUUUUCCAAUGAGGUUCUGUUACUAAACUGAACUACACCAUGUUCUAAUGAGGUUAGUACAUAUAGGGUCACAGACAUAGUACUAGACACCAAACAUCUUUUUAACUUUGACUCAUUUCUUUAGCAAAGAGACUAAACACAACUCACCUACUCUCUUCCAGCAGACGCUUGUUU
RNAcentral lists this long non-coding RNA (27522 nucleotides) under Xyrichtys novacula (pearly razorfish). The record is from RNAcentral. Lineage: Eukaryota; Metazoa; Chordata; Actinopteri; Labriformes; Labridae.